Molecule: ribosomal RNA, 482 nt
Filed under: uncultured bacterium
Lineage: Bacteria
Description: partial 16S ribosomal RNA
Rfam family: Bacterial small subunit ribosomal RNA
Source: RNAcentral
AUUGAACGCUGGCGGCAUGCCUUACACAUGCAAGUCGAACGGUAACAGGUCUUCGGAUGCUGACGAGUGGCGCACGGGUGAGUAAUACAUUGGAACGUGCCCAGACGUGGGGGAUAACGAGGCGAAAGCUUUGCUAAUACCGCAUACGAUCUAAGGAUGAAAGCAGGGGACCGCAAGGCCUUGCGCGUUUGGAGCGGCCGAUGGCAGAUUAGGUAGUUGGUGGGAUAAAAGCUUACCAAGCCGACGAUCUGUAGCUGGUCUGAGAGGACGACCAGCCACACUGGGACUGAGACACGGCCCAGACUCCUACGGGAGGCAGCAGUGGGGAAUUUUGGACAAUGGGCGAAAGCCUGAUCCAGCAAUGCCGCGUGCAGGAUGAAGGCCUUCGGGUUGUAAACUGCUUUUGUACGGAACGAAAAGGCUCUGGCUAAUACCUGGGGCACAUGACGGUACCGUAAGAAUAAGCACCGGCUAACUACGUG